This is a long non-coding RNA of Gavialis gangeticus (Gharial), 626 nucleotides long. RefSeq lists it as uncharacterized. The record is from RefSeq and is a predicted model, not a curated record. The transcript is spliced from 2 exons. Lineage: Eukaryota; Metazoa; Chordata; Crocodylia; Gavialidae.
GGAUAGAGACGCCCAGAGUGAUCAGUUGGGACAGAGACAUGUCUUCACUGAAGCCCUGGCGCCAAACCAAGGAGUGAAAACCUUGUGCAGCCGCCCCGAGGACACCAGACUUGUUCUGCGUGCUCUUCGAAAGCAAGGGUGCAAGGUGGAAACUCUUAGAGUGUGAGUGUUUUCCACGAUAAGCGUUGACCAAGGCUGGGACUAGAGAAAUGCUCUUGAACCUCAUGCCUCAACGCAGAAAUUCCCUUGUGUGAACUGAGAGUAUGAAUUGAGAAAUAUGAGCCACUGACCAGGUCUGGGACUAAGGUUGGGUUCAGCCGCCCCAAGGCUGUCCAGAAAGGCAGUUUUGAAUGCAAGGGGGCCCAACUGGAACCCUGUGACCCAGUGGACAGGUUUACCCUUUCCUCACCCUCAUAAAUGAGCUGUGUCUAACCGUAAGUAACUGCAUUGUGUGCCAUUAUUGCAGUGGAGUCUUGUCUUUGGACAUUAGCCACAGCAUUUCUGUGCCACUAGCAAAUCUCACAACCUGACCGGACACCCUCAAUAAGUCAUUCCUGUGUGAAAGACCUGUGUGAAUUGAGUUAAAGAAAUGGGGAGCGGAGGAUCUAAAGAUGUACCGGCUCUGC